This 25-nucleotide non-coding RNA is filed under the name Mus musculus (house mouse). Lineage: Eukaryota; Metazoa; Chordata; Mammalia; Rodentia; Muridae. The record is from RNAcentral.
UCAGAUCUGGUGAUGGAAUCUCAGU